Molecule: ribosomal RNA, 495 nt
Filed under: uncultured bacterium
Lineage: Bacteria
Description: partial 16S ribosomal RNA
Rfam family: Bacterial small subunit ribosomal RNA
Source: RNAcentral
GACGAACGCUGGCGGCGUGCCUAAUACAUGCAAGUAGAACGCUGAAGGAGGAGCUUGCUUCUCUGGAUGAGUUGCGAACGGGUGAGUAACGCGUAGGUAACCUGCCUGGUAGCGGGGGAUAACUAUUGGAAACGAUAGCUAAUACCGCAUAAGAGUAGAUGUCGCAUGACAUUUGCUUAAAAGGUGCAAUUGCAUCACUACCAGAUGGACCUGCGUUGUAUUAGCUAGUUGGUGAGGUAACGGCUCACCAAGGCAACGAUACAUAGCCGACCUGAGAGGGGGAUCGGCCAGACUGGGACUGAGACACGGCCCAGACUCCUACGGGAGGCAGCAGGAGGGAAUCUUCGGCAAUAGACGGAAGUCUUACCGAGCAACGCCGCGGGAGUGAAGAAGGUUGUCGGAUCGGAAAGCUCUGUUGUAAGAGAAGAACGAGUGUGAGAGUGGAAAGUUCACACUGUGACGGUAUCUGACCAGAAAGGGACGGCUAACUACGUG